UUUGAUCCUGGCUCAGGACGAACGCUGGCGGCGUGCUUAACACAUGCAAGUCGAGCGAGGCCCAUCUUCGGGUGGUGCCCUAGCGGCGAACGGGUGAGUAACACGUGGGCAACCUGCCCUCAGCUCUGGGAUAACUCCAAGAAAUUGGUGCUAAUACCGGAUGUGACCGCUGACCGCAUGGUCUGGUGGUGGAAAGAUUCAUCGGCUGAGGAUGGGCCCGCGGCCUAUCAGCUUGUUGGUGGGGUCACGGCCCACCAAGGCGACGACGGGUAGCCGGCCUGAGAGGGUGACCGGCCACACUGGGACUGAGACACGGCCCAGACUCCUACGGGAGGCAGCAGUGGGGAAUAUUGCGCAAUGGGCGAAAGCCUGACGCAGCGACGCCGCGUGAGGGAUGACGGCCUUCGGGUUGUAAACCUCUUUCAGUAGGGACGAAGCGCAAGUGACGGUACCUACAGAAGAAGCACCGGCGAACUAC
Molecule: ribosomal RNA, 478 nt
Filed under: Geodermatophilus sp. d36
Lineage: Bacteria; Bacillati; Actinomycetota; Actinomycetes; Geodermatophilales; Geodermatophilaceae
Description: bacterial SSU rRNA
Rfam family: Bacterial small subunit ribosomal RNA
Source: RNAcentral